This 460-nucleotide ribosomal RNA is filed under the name uncultured bacterium. Its description in RNAcentral is "partial 16S ribosomal RNA". It matches the Rfam family "Bacterial small subunit ribosomal RNA", at positions 338 to 795 of the family's 1533-position model. The record is from RNAcentral.
CCUACGGGUGGCAGCAGUGAGGAAUAUUGGUCAAUGGACGAGAGUCUGAACCAGCCAAGUAGCGUGAAGGAUGACUGUCCUAUGGGUUGUAAACUUCUUUUAUAUGGGAAUAAAAUGUUCCACGUGUGGGAUUUUGUAUGUACCAUAUGAAUAAGGAUCGGCUAACUCCGUGCCAGCAGCCGCGGUAAUACGGAGGAUCCGAGCGUUAUCCGGAUUUAUUGGGUUUAAAGGGAGCGUAGGUGGAUUGUUAAGUCAGUUGUGAAAGUUUGCGGCUCAACCGUAAAAUUGCAGUUGAAACUGGCAGUCUUGAGUACAGUAGAGGUGAGCGGAAUUCGUGGUGUAGCGGUGAAAUGCUUAGAGAUCACGAAGAACUCCGAUUGCGAAGGCAGUUCACUGGACUGCAACUGACACUGAGGCUCGAAAGUGUGGGUAUCAAACAGGAUUAGAUACCCCAGUAGUC